Molecule: ribosomal RNA, 253 nt
Filed under: uncultured bacterium
Lineage: Bacteria
Description: partial 16S ribosomal RNA
Rfam family: Bacterial small subunit ribosomal RNA
Source: RNAcentral
UACGGGGGGGGCAAGCGUUGUUCGGAAUUACUGGGCGUAAAGGGCUCGUAGGUGGCCAACUAAGUCAGACGUGAAAUCCCUCGGCUUAACCGGGGAACUGCGUCUGAUACUGGAUGGCUUGAGUUUGGGAGAGGGACGCGGAAUUCCAGGUGUAGCGGUGAAAUGCGUAGAUAUCUGGAGGAACACCGGUGGCGAAGGCGGCGUCCUGGACCAAUACUGACGCUGAGGAGCGAAAGCGUGGGGAGCGAACGGG